RNAcentral lists this ribosomal RNA (497 nucleotides) under uncultured bacterium. Its description in RNAcentral is "partial 16S ribosomal RNA". It matches the Rfam family "Bacterial small subunit ribosomal RNA", at positions 28 to 507 of the family's 1533-position model. The record is from RNAcentral.
GAGGAAAGAGGGCGGCGUGCCUAAUACAUGCAAGUCGAGCGAACAGACGAGGAGCUUGCUCCUCUGACGUUAGCGGCGGACGGGUGAGUAACACGUGGAUAACCUACCUAUAAGACUGGGAUAACUUCGGGAAACAGGAGCUAAUACCGGAUAAUAUAUUGAACCGCAUGGUUCAAUAGUGAAAGGCGGUUUUGCUGUCACUUAUAGAUGGAUCCGCGCCGCAUUAGCUAGUUGGUAAGGUAACGGCUUACCAAGGCGACGAUGCGUAGCCGACCUGAGAGGGUGAUCGGCCACACUGGAACUGAGACACGGUCCAGACUCCUACGGGAGGCAGCAGUAGGGAAUCUUCCGCAAUGGGCGAAAGCCUGACGGAGCAACGCCGCGUGAGUGAUGAAGGUCUUCGGAUCGUAAAACUCUGUUAUUAGGGAAGAACAAAUGUGUAAGUAACUAUGCACGUCUUGACGGUACCUAAUCAGAAAGCCACGGCUAACUACGUG